AGGGGCUUAGGCUUAACCAAACCAAGGGCCUUCAAAGCCCUAAUUGGGGGUGAAACUCCCUCAGCCCCUG
RNAcentral lists this transfer RNA (70 nucleotides) under Bothus robinsi (twospot flounder). RNAcentral's name for it is "tRNA-Trp". It matches the Rfam family "tRNA". Rfam says of the family: Transfer RNA (tRNA) molecules are approximately 80 nucleotides in length. Their secondary structure includes four short double-helical elements and three loops (D, anti-codon, and T loops). Further hydrogen bonds mediate the characteristic L-shaped molecular structure. tRNAs have two regions of fundamental functional importance: the anti-codon, which is responsible for specific mRNA codon recognition, and the 3' end, to which the tRNAs corresponding amino acid is attached (by aminoacyl-tRNA synthetases). tRNAs cope with the degeneracy of the genetic code in two manners: having more than one tRNA (with a specific anti-codon) for a particular amino acid; and 'wobble' base-pairing, i.e. permitting non-standard base-pairing at the 3rd anti-codon position. The record is from RNAcentral. Lineage: Eukaryota; Metazoa; Chordata; Actinopteri; Pleuronectiformes; Bothidae.